RNAcentral lists this ribosomal RNA (497 nucleotides) under uncultured bacterium. RNAcentral describes it as "partial 16S ribosomal RNA". It matches the Rfam family "Bacterial small subunit ribosomal RNA", at positions 28 to 507 of the family's 1533-position model. The record is from RNAcentral.
GAUGAACGCUGGCGGCGUGCCUAAUACAUGCAAGUCGAGCGAACGGACGAGAAGCUUGCUUUUCUGAUGUUAGCGGCGGACGGGUGAGUAACACGUGGAUAACCUACCUAUAAGACUGGGAUAACUUCGGGAAACCGGAGCUAAUACCGGAUAAUAUUUUGAACCGCAUGGUUCAAAAGUGAAAGACGGUCUUGCUGUCACUUAUAGAUGGAUUCGCGCUGCAUUAGCUAGUUGGUAAGGUAGCGGCUUACCAAGGCAACGAUGCAUAGCCGACCCGAGAGGGUGAUCGGCCACACUGGAACUGAGACACGGUCCAGACUCCUACGGGAGGCAGCAGUAGGGAAUCUUCCGCAAUGGGCGAAAGCCUGACGGAGCAACGCCGCGUGAGUGAUGAAGGUCUUCGGAUCGUAAAACUCUGUUAUUAGGGAAGAACAUAUGUGUAAGUAACUGUGCACAUCUUGACGGUACCUAAUCAGAAAGCCACGGCUAACUACGUG